Molecule: long non-coding RNA, 2006 nt
Filed under: Canis lupus familiaris (dog)
Lineage: Eukaryota; Metazoa; Chordata; Mammalia; Carnivora; Canidae
Description: lncRNA (ENSCAFG00845026952.1)
Source: RNAcentral
AGAGAUCAAUAAGCAAAUUUAUUCUGCAUCCAUCCAUCCAUCCAUCCAUAGGACAUGCACAGGGUGUCCUAUGUUGGGAGGUAUGUUGCUAUGGUGGGCGAUUAGAAACGAUCGGCGGCCUCACCAAAGCUUAUCUAACUCCUCAAUUCAGAAACGUCUUAGGCAACUGAAAAGAUCUAUUCCUGUAAAAUUCUUGGUUAUACACGCAUAUGCUUAAGUACAUGUGUAACGCUAAGACUCAUUGGAAGGUUCAGGAGAGAGCGUCUCCCCAGCUACAGAUUUUGGGGGCCUGCCUUCUCUGCCCUUACAACGAUAGGUCCCUCUUGGUCACAAAAUCUGGGGGGAAAAAGAGGAGAGAAGGUAAUAAUUAUGGCACCAUCUGUUGCCAUUGGAUAGAGGAUCUUCUCACCCCUGCCUCUCUUGGGGUUGUGAGUGAGAAGCUGGCAAGGCCCCAGGCCAACAAGAAAAAAACAGGGGACUGAGAGGGGACAACCUGCCGCGGUAGCCGGUGUCCGCUUUGUGGUACUCUUUUGAGGGUCAUCUGGGAAAACUUUUAUUAUAUACUUUAUGGAAUAAUUUGCAUUAGGUCAAAUUUAUAUUCCUUCCGGAGAGCCUAUGAAACAUGAUCCCUAAUCUCAAGGGUAGACGUGGCAAAAACAAGAAAGAGAGUAAUUAGCAAAAAAGGGUGUCCUGUGGGAAAGAACUCUGAGUGAGGAACCGUUCAGAAUUUACAAGUUGCCCCUGGUCAAGAUGGUGAUGUGAUCUGACCUUGGAGAUCUGUGCGCUGGAAAGGAUCACCCGAAGGAUACCUUUAGUCAGGUGAAUGAAGGCAGCUGAGUACCCAAGAUUUUGGGGGCAGGUCACCUCUCUCCCUAACCUUAAGGAGCCGUUCAUUCUCUUUAUGGUGGCUUUGGUCAUCCCCUAAGUACUGGCUAUUGUGCAACUAUUAUGUGCCAGCUACUUUGCCAAGAACAUCAUCUAUAUUAUCACCUAUUCAUUCCUCCAGGCCUAGCUCACUGUUCUUUUUAACCCACCCAUGACUUAUGUCCCCAAGCCGAAUUAAUAAUGCCACUACCGGUGGACUGGUCAUUAAAACACUCUACUCAUUCUGUUCACUCCUUGAAUGCAGCUCUUCUCCCACAGCCCACGCUUCUACCUGUCCCCCUCAGUUCCUCAGUCCUCCUGAGCUGGACAGGACCAGCACCCACGCUUUAUUCCAACUUCCCAGCAUCUGGUAGUCCCCACGUGCCACAUUCCGUUGAGUGGAACCACAUGACUUCAAACUCUUGGAAGAAUCCCGUAAUUGUUGAGCAGGAGGGCGCCUGGAACCUCCGCUGGCUACAAGCUCCUUUCACACAGGAGGAAAUUUAGGUUCGCACAAGUAACUUGCCUGAGGUCACGUAAACCUGAUAGGACGAAAUCAGAAUCCAGUUCCCUUGCUUUUCAGCCCAGUGUAGAUGCGACCGAGACACAACUAAGUAUCUGUAUUUCCCAAUCUCCUGGCCCCACCCGAAUCCUAUCAGCAACUGGCCUUUGGACCUUCAGGCUAUUUCUGUGAUAAUCUAUUUUCUAGAAGAGCCCACUUCCAUACACAGCUUUUCUUUCAAAGCUCCGCAUUCCAAACAGGAAAGUCCAAACUCCAAAUGGGCUGGCUUGAGCCCUUGAGCCGCAGCAUCGGUGUAAAAGUUGGGGGUGGUGGGGUGGUGGUGGUGGUGGGGUGUGGUGGGGGGGCCCUUCUGUGUAUAUUUUUACCAAGUUCUGUCCACAUGCAGCCUUUGAUCCCCACAAAUCAAAACGCUUGUCAACACACAGAGCAGGCUCCCUCUUCCCCAUCUCUUGAGACCUGGCGGUUGUGCUGACUCGAGGAUCCUUCCUCCUCACCAACCUGGCGAACCCCAAGGAUCUGUUCCCCUCCUGGACAGCGAGCUGGCUUGGCCCUCGCACCGUCCCAAAGGUGGACUGUGUGUGCAGCACCGAGCAGCAGGGUGCACCGCGUGCCUCUGCAU